AACGAACGCUGGCGGCGCGCUUAACACAUGCAAGUCGAACGAGAAGGCGUAGCAAUACGCUUGUACAGUGGCGAACGGGUGAGUAAUACGUGGGCGACCUGCCCUCGAGUGGGGAAUAACCCGCCGAAAGGCGGGCUAAUGCCGCGUACGCUUCCAUCUUUAUGGAGGUGGAAGGAAAGCCGUGCCGUGGGCACGGCGCUCAAGGAUGGGCUCACGUCCUAUCAGCUUGUUGGAGGGUAACGGCCUACCAAGGCUCCGACGGGUAGCUGGUCUGAGAGGACGAUCAGCCACACUGGCACUGCGACACGGGCCAGACUCCUACGGGAGGCAGCAGUGAGGAAUAUUGCGCAAUGGGCGAAAGCCUGACGCAGCGACGCCGCGUGGGGGAUGAAGGU
This 395-nucleotide ribosomal RNA is filed under the name uncultured bacterium. Its description in RNAcentral is "bacterial SSU rRNA". It matches the Rfam family "Bacterial small subunit ribosomal RNA", at positions 29 to 415 of the family's 1533-position model. The record is from RNAcentral.